UGGGGAAUUUUGGACAAUGGGCGAAAGCCUGAUCCAGCAAUGCCGCGUGUGUGAAGAAGGCCUUCGGGUUGUAAAGCACUUUUGUCCGGAAAGAAAUCCUUGGCUCUAAUACAGUCGGGGGAUGACGGUACCGGAAGAAUAAGCACCGGCUAACUACGUGCCAGCAGCCGCGGUAAUACGUAGGGUGCAAGCGUUAAUCGGAAUUACUGGGCGUAAAGCGUGCGCAGGCGGUUUGCUAAGACCGAUGUGAAAUCCCCGAGCUCAACCUGGGAACUGCAUUGGUGACUGGCAGGCUAGAGUAUGGCAGAGGGGGGUAGAAUUCCACGUGUAGCAGUGAAAUGCGUAGAGAUGUGGAGGAAUACCGAUGGCGAAGGCAGCCCCCUGGGCCAAUACUGACGCUCAUGCACGAAAGCGUGGGGAGCAAAACAGGAUUAGAUACCCUGGUAGUCCACGCCCUAAAACGAUGUCAACUAGUUGUUGGGGAUUCAUUUCCUUAGUAACGUAGCUAACGCGUGAAGUUGACCGCCUGGGGAGUACGGUCGCAAGAUUAAAACUCAAAGGAAUUGACGGGGUCAUAGCUGUUUCCU
Molecule: ribosomal RNA, 587 nt
Filed under: uncultured bacterium
Lineage: Bacteria
Description: partial 16S ribosomal RNA
Rfam family: Bacterial small subunit ribosomal RNA
Source: RNAcentral